CCUACGGGAGGCAGCAGUGAGGAAUAUUGGUCAAUGGACGAGAGUCUGAACCAGCCAAGUAGCGUGAAGGAUGACUGCCCUACGGGUUGUAAACUUCUUUUAUAAAGGAAUAAAACGAGGCACGUGUGCCUCUUUGCAUGUACUUUAUGAAUAAGGAUCGGCCAACCCCGUGCCAGCAGCCGCGGUAAUACGGAGGAUCCGAGCGUUAUCCGGAUUUAUUGGGUGUAAAGGGAGCGUAGGUGGGUUGUUAAGUGAGUUGUGAAAGUUUGCGGCUCAACCGUAAAAUUGCAAUUGAUACUGGCAGUCUUGAGUACAGUUGGGGUAGGCGGAAUUCGUGGUGUAGCGGUGAAAUGCUUAGAUAUCACGAAGAACCCCGAUUGCGAAGGCAGCUUACUAAACUGUGACUGACAUUGAGGCUCGAAAGUGUGGGUAUCAAACGGGAUUAGAUACCCGAGUAGUC
RNAcentral lists this ribosomal RNA (460 nucleotides) under uncultured bacterium. RNAcentral's name for it is "partial 16S ribosomal RNA". It matches the Rfam family "Bacterial small subunit ribosomal RNA", at positions 338 to 795 of the family's 1533-position model. The record is from RNAcentral.